CCUACGGGUGGCAGCAGUGAGGAAUAUUGGUCAAUGGCCGGAAGGCUGAACCAGCCAAGCCGCGUGAAGGACGAAGGUGCCAAGCAUUGUAAACUUCUUUUGUCAAGGGACAAAAUCAGGCUCGAGAGCCUGACCGAGGGUACUUGAAGAAAAAGCAUCGGCUAACUCCGUGCCAGCAGCCGCGGUAAUACGGAGGAUGCGAGCGUUAUCCGGAUUUAUUGGGUUUAAAGGGUGCGUAGGCGGGCUGUUAAGUCAGCGGUAAAAGCCCGGGGCUCAACCCCGGCGAGCCGUUGAAACUGGCUGUCUUGAGAUGUCGAGAGGUAUGCGGAAUGCGCAGUGUAGCGGUGAAAUGCUUAGAUAUGACGAAGAACCCCGAUUGCGAAGGCAGCUUGCUGCAGCGGAACUGACGCUGAUGCUCGAAAGCGCGGGUAUCGAACAGGAUUAGAUACCCUUGUAGUC
This 459-nucleotide ribosomal RNA is filed under the name uncultured bacterium. RNAcentral describes it as "partial 16S ribosomal RNA". It matches the Rfam family "Bacterial small subunit ribosomal RNA", at positions 338 to 795 of the family's 1533-position model. The record is from RNAcentral.